Lupinus angustifolius (narrow-leaved blue lupine) is the source of this 134-nucleotide microRNA precursor. It matches the Rfam family "MIR168 microRNA precursor family". Lineage: Eukaryota; Viridiplantae; Streptophyta; Magnoliopsida; Fabales; Fabaceae. The record is from Rfam.
CACCGCGCGGCCUCUAAUUCGCUUGGUGCAGGUCGGGAACCGCUGCUACUUUGGCGUUUAAUGAAUGAGGCGGUGGUUGACGGUGGCGAAUUGGUUCCCGCCUUGCAUCAACUGAAUCGGAGGCUGCGGUGGUU